Molecule: ribosomal RNA, 1478 nt
Filed under: uncultured Desulfobulbaceae bacterium
Lineage: Bacteria; Pseudomonadati; Thermodesulfobacteriota; Desulfobulbia; Desulfobulbales; Desulfobulbaceae
Description: bacterial SSU rRNA
Rfam family: Bacterial small subunit ribosomal RNA
Source: RNAcentral
AGAACGAACGCUGGCGGCGUGCUUAACACAUGCAAGUCGAACGGGUAGUUCCUUCGGGGACGAAAGUGGCGCACGGGUGAGUAACGCGUGGACAACCUGUCCAGAUGUCUGGAACAGCCCUCCGAAAGGGGGAUUAAUACCGGAUGAGCCGCAGUGCCGGAGGGUGCUGCGGGAAAGGCGGCCUCUGCUUGCAAGCUGCCGCAUUUGGAGGGGUCUGCGUGCCAUUAGCUAGUUGGGGAGGUAACGGCUCACCAAGGCUGCGAUGGCUAGCGGGUCUGAGAGGAUGAUCCGCCACACUGGCACUGAAACACGGGCCAGACUCCUACGGGAGGCAGCAGUGAGGAAUAUUGCGCAAUGGGGGCAACCCUGACGCAGCGACGCCGCGUGGGUGACGAAGGCCUUCGGGUCGUAAAACCCUGUCGGGAGGAAAGAAAUGCGUUCAAGUCAACACCUUGGACGUUUGACGGUACCUCCAAAGGAAGCACCGGCUAACUCUGUGCCAGCAGCCGCGGUAAUACAGAGGGUGCAAGCGUUGUUCGGAAUUACUGGGCGUAAAGGGCGUGCAGGCGGCCUGUCAAGUCAGAUGUGAAAGCCCACGGCUCGACUGUGGAAGCGCAUUUGAAACUGGCAGGCUUGAGUACCAGAGGGGAAAGUGGAAUUCCCGGCGUAGAGGUGAAAUUCGUAGAUAUCGGGAGGAAUACCGGUGGCGAAGGCGACUUUCUGGCUGGAUACUGACGCUGAGACGCGAAAGCGCGGGGAGCAAACAGGAUUAGAUACCCUGGUAGUCCGCGCCGUAAACGAUGUGAACUGGAUGCAGGGGGGUGUUGAUCCCCUCUGUGUCGCAGCCAACGCGCUAAGUUCACCGCCUGGGGAGUACGGCCGCAAGGUUAAAACUCAAAGGAAUUGACGGGGGCCCGCACAAGCGGUGGAGUAUGUGGUUUAAUUCGAUGCAACGCGAAGAACCUUACCUGGUCUUGACAUCCCGGGAAUUCCCUUGAAAGGGGGAAGUGCCUCGCAAGAGGAGCUUGGAGACAGGUGCUGCAUGGCUGUCGUCAGCUCGUGUCGUGAGAUGUUGGGUUAAGUCCCGCAACGAGCGCAACCCCCGCCGUCAGUUGCCAGCAUUCAGUUGGGCACCCUGACGGGACCGCCGGCGUCAAGCCGGAGGAAGGUAGGGAUGACGUCAAGUCCUCAUGGCCUUUAUGACCAGGGCUACACACGUACUACAAUGGCCGGUACAAAGGGCUGCGACAGGGCGACCUGAAGCCAAUCCCCAAAAGCCGGUCUCAGUCCGGAUCGGAGCCUGCAACUCGGCUCCGUGAAGUUGGAAUCGCUAGUAAUCGCGGAUCAGCACGCCGCGGUGAAUACGUUCCCGGGCCUUGUACACACCGCCCGUCACACCACGGGAGUCGAUUGCACCAGAAGCGGCUGGGCGAACCUUCGGGACGCAGGCCGCCAAGGUAUGGUCGGUGACUGGGGUG